GGUAUUUUUUGAUGAUAUUCUGGUUUAUAGCUCUACAGUAACAAAGCAUGUUAGUCAUCUUAAGUUGGUUUUAGAGUUGCUGUUUAACCAUCAAUUUUUUGCUAAGAUGUCUAAGUGUAUUUUUGGUGUUGAAUCAAUUGCUUACUUGGGCCAUGUUUUGUCAGCCAAUGGGGUUCAACCUGACCGCGACAAAAUCCAAGCCAUAGUCGAGUGGCCAAUUCCGUGUUCUUUGACACAGUUACGUGGAUUCUUGGGCCUGACUGGACUUUAUCGUCGUUUCAUUAGAAACUAUGCUUCUCACGCCGCUCCACUCACGGAUUUAUUAAAGCAUACAAAGUUUACAUGGUCAACAAUGGCACUUGAAGCCUUUACACAAAUGAAAGCGAUAAUGACUAAAACCCCAGUGUUAGUGCUUCCAAACUUUAAUGUUAUUUUCGAUGUUGAGACUGAUGUUUCUGCCUUGGAAAUUGGGGCAGUAUUGUCACAAAAUGGACACCCAAUAGCUUUCUUUAGCAAGAAGUUAUCAACCAGGAUGCAAGCUGCCUCCGCAUAUGUCCGAGAACUCUAUGCUGUUACAGAAUCAGUAAUGAAAUGGCGUCAGUAUCUAAUUGGCAGAUAUUUUCGCAUAUUUACAGAUCAACAAAGCUUGAAGCACAUGUUAACAGAAGCUUUUCAAACCACUGAACAACAAAAAUGGGCUACAAAACUACAAGGAUUUCACUAUGAGAUUUUUUACAAACCUGGAAGAGAGAACAGGGUUGCUGAUCCUCUAUCUCGGUGUCAUUCGGCUGAAUCGAUACUAGUGUCCUUGAGCUCGCCAAUUCCAAACGUACUCAGUCAGCUCACAAAUUUUUAC
Molecule: long non-coding RNA, 856 nt
Filed under: Lupinus angustifolius (narrow-leaved blue lupine)
Lineage: Eukaryota; Viridiplantae; Streptophyta; Magnoliopsida; Fabales; Fabaceae
Description: long non-coding RNA (LANG_LNC003102)
Source: RNAcentral